Molecule: long non-coding RNA, 874 nt
Filed under: Cyanistes caeruleus (blue tit)
Lineage: Eukaryota; Metazoa; Chordata; Aves; Passeriformes; Paridae
Description: lncRNA (ENSCCEG00000001372.1)
Source: RNAcentral
UGCCUGUUUGGGUGUGUCUGGGCUGUGUUCCUCUUGUCGGGAGUGCUGAGGAGCCCAGCACAGCAGGUGUCCAUACAGAGGCCUGAUGCUGUGUGAUGCUGAGCGGGAGGUACCGAUUCAGCCUGAACACAGAGCCUGCAUGCUCUGCUUCACAGUGCAGAGAUGAGCUCAGCAACAGUCUUACAUCUGGGCUGGAUUUGUGCCGUGCCCCAACAGAGCCCAGACAGAAUUCACUCUGGGGUUGAUAGCCCUAACUCCAUCUCAAAGUGUCUGAAAUCCACCUGGACUUUGCUACCUGAGAGCACAGCAUAGGGAUAAUUGGGAAAGCUCUACGAGAUGCAUUCAUGUUCUGUGCUACAUGAAGGUUUCACCACUCCUGACAUUCAUCCUACCCAGUUAGCACACCAUUGGAUAUCUGUUUGGGCUUUUCACCUGUGGAACACAACCAGCUGAAGAUUUCCGUAGCAACAGAAUUCCAUCUAGAGUGUUCAAAUGGAAGCACAGAAGCAUUGGAAGCUGAAAGUUCCUCCUGAUGUUGCAUUCCUGUCCAGGUCUUUCAACAACUGGAACUCUAUUGUCUGGAAGCUCCUACCCUGGUGGCUCAGACAGGGCUUGAUGAUGCUGUGGAGAAGGCACUAUCUGUUGAAGGGAGCCAAGUGUGGCACUUUAUUGCGCUGGGAGUCAUGAUUGCUCAGCUGUGAGAUUGCUUCCUGGAAAUCUGUAGUGGAGAAUCAAGCACAGUGCAGCAGCAGCCACAUAUGAAUGUGGUGAGUGAAUAGCUGUGUUUGUGCCUAGGGAAUAGCUGAGGAACUUGGGGAACAGUGGUGUCCUUUUGAGCAUGACUGGCCAGUUGAGGACAUACCAGUUAAAUUGC